CUACGGGCGGCUGCAGUGGGGAAUAUUGCACAAUGGGCGCAAGCCUGAUGCAGCCAUGCCGCGUGUAUGAAGAAGGCCUUCGGGUUGUAAAGUACUUUCAGCGGGGAGGAAGGGAGUAAAGUUAAUACCUUUGCUCAUUGACGUUACCCGCAGAAGAAGCACCGGCUAACUCCGUGCCAGCAGCCGCGGUAAUACGGAGGGUGCAAGCGUUAAUCGGAAUUACUGGGCGUAAAGCGCACGCAGGCGGUUUGUUAAGUCAGAUGUGAAAUCCCCGGGCUCGACCUGGGAACUGCAUCUGAUACUGGCAAGCUUGAGUCUCGUAGAGGGGGGUAGAAUUCCAGGUGUAGCGGUGAAAUGCGUAGAGAUCUGGAGGAAUACCGGUGGCGAAGGCGGCCCCCUGGACGAAGACUGACGCUCAGGUGCGAAAGCGUGGGGAGUAAACAGGAUUAGAUACCCCCGUAGUC
RNAcentral lists this ribosomal RNA (464 nucleotides) under uncultured bacterium. RNAcentral's name for it is "partial 16S ribosomal RNA". It matches the Rfam family "Bacterial small subunit ribosomal RNA", at positions 339 to 795 of the family's 1533-position model. The record is from RNAcentral.